GGCGGGGCGGGCGCAGGAGGCGGGGCUGCUAGUAGCCUCCAGAGGGCGCUCUGUCCCGCGCUGCGCUCUGACCCGGGCCCACCGCACGUCUUCAAAGGGCGAUACAUUCGUCCGCCUUAAUGACUGCGCGGGGGCAGCGGCGGAGCGUCCCCGGGGAUAUCCAACCUCCGGGGCCGUCCUGAGCCCGAGUCCCCAAGGAUGGUCCAGCCUUCCUUGUGCCCGGCCUAAGAAUAGAGCUCCCAUUCACACAAGGUGGCAGCAAGAUCUGUUCAAGAUGGAAAUUGGACUAUGUAAUGUUCAUGAAUCAUGCCAGACCAUCAAUUCCAGGUGGACCCUAUGCCCCAGAGCCAUGAAGAAAACUGAAGCAUUUUCAGAAGGCAAUGGACAGGACAAGGGAAGGAUUUCUUCAGCAAGAUGUCAAAAGGAAAGAAAUAAAGAGAAAUAUGGAUCAAUUUGACUACUUAAAAUUGGUCAUUUUUGUUCACCAAGAGUUACAAAAGAGGAAAUGGCAAGGCAAGCCGGGACUUAGGAAAAG
This 535-nucleotide long non-coding RNA is filed under the name Mustela putorius furo (domestic ferret). Its description in RNAcentral is "lncRNA (ENSMPUG00000028337.1)". Lineage: Eukaryota; Metazoa; Chordata; Mammalia; Carnivora; Mustelidae. The record is from RNAcentral.